GGGGGCAUAGCUCAGUUGGGAGAGCGUCUCGAUGGCAUCGAGAAGGUCAGGGGUUCGAGUCCCCUUGCCUCCA
Molecule: transfer RNA, 73 nt
Filed under: Phycisphaerae bacterium
Lineage: Bacteria; Pseudomonadati; Planctomycetota; Phycisphaerae
Also listed under: 1 other name
Description: tRNA-Ala
Rfam family: tRNA
About the family: Transfer RNA (tRNA) molecules are approximately 80 nucleotides in length. Their secondary structure includes four short double-helical elements and three loops (D, anti-codon, and T loops).
Source: RNAcentral